Molecule: ribosomal RNA, 1504 nt
Filed under: uncultured bacterium
Lineage: Bacteria
Description: bacterial SSU rRNA
Rfam family: Bacterial small subunit ribosomal RNA
Source: RNAcentral
AGAGUUUGAUCCUGGCUCAGAUUGAACGCUGGCGGCAGGCCUAACACAUGCAAGUCGAGCGGAUGAAGAGAGCUUGCUCUCUGAUUCAGCGGCGGACGGGUGAGUAAUGCCUAGGAAUCUGCCUGGUAGUGGGGGACAACGUUUCGAAAGGAACGCUAAUACCGCAUACGUCCUACGGGAGAAAGCAGGGGACCUUCGGGCCUUGCGCUAUCAGAUGAGCCUAGGUCGGAUUAGCUAGUUGGUGAGGUAAUGGCUCACCAAGGCGACGAUCCGUAACUGGUCUGAGAGGAUGAUCAGUCACACUGGAACUGAGACACGGUCCAGACUCCUACGGGAGGCAGCAGUGGGGAAUAUUGGACAAUGGGCGAAAGCCUGAUCCAGCCAUGCCGCGUGUGUGAAGAAGGUCUUCGGAUUGUAAAGCACUUUAAGUUGGGAGGAAGGGCAGUAAAAUUAAUACUUUGCUGUUUUGACGUUACCGACAAGAAAUAAGCACCGGCUAACUCUGUGCCAGCAGCCGCGGUAAUACAGAGGGUGCAAGCGUUAAUCGGAAUUACUGGGCGUAAAGCGCGCGUAGGUGGUUUGUUAAGUUGGAUGUGAAAGCCCCGGGCUCAACCUGGGAACUGCAUUCAAAACUGACAAGCUAGAGUAUGGUAGAGGGUGGGUGGAAUUUCCUGUGUAGCGGUGAAAUGCGUAGAUAUAGGAAGGAACACCAGUGGCGAAAGCGACCACCUGGACUGAUACUGACACUGAGGUGCGAAAGCGUGCGGAGCAUACAGGAUUAGAUACCCUGGUAGUCCACGCCGUAAACGAUGUCAACUAGCCGUUGGGAGCCUUGAGCUCCUAGUGGCGCAGCUAACGCAUUAAGUUGACCGCCUGGCGAGUACGGCCGCAAGGUUAAAACUCAAAUGAAUUGACGGGGGGCCGCACAAGCCGUGGAACAUGUGGGUUAAGUCGAAGCAACGCGAAGAACCUUACCAGGCCUUGACAUCCAAUGAACUUUCCAGAGAUGGAUUGGUGCCUUCGGGAACAUUGAGACAGGUGCUGCAUGGCUGUCGUCGAGCUCGUGUCGUGAGAUGUUGGGAUUAAGUCCCGUAACGAGCGCAACCCUUGUCCUUAGUUACCAGCACGUAAUGGUGGGCACUCUAAGGAGACUGCCGGUGACAAACCGGAGGAAGGUGGGGAUGACGUCAAGUCAUCAUGGCCCUUACGGCCUGGGCUACACACGUGCUACAAUGGUCGGUACAGAGGGUUGCCAAGCCGCGAGGUGGAGCUAAUCCCAUAAAACCGAUCGUAGUCCGGAUCGCAGUCUGCAACUCGACUGCGUGAAGUCGGAAUCGCUAGUAAUCGCGAAUCAGAAUGUCGCGGUGAAUACGUUCCCGGGCCUUGUACACACCGCCCGUCACACCAUGGGAGUGGGUUGCACCAGAAGUAGCUAGUCUAACCUUCGGGGGGACGGUUACCACGGUGUGAUUCAUGACUGGGGUGAAGUCGUAACAAGGUAACC